This 472-nucleotide ribosomal RNA is filed under the name uncultured bacterium. Its description in RNAcentral is "partial 16S ribosomal RNA". It matches the Rfam family "Bacterial small subunit ribosomal RNA", at positions 28 to 507 of the family's 1533-position model. The record is from RNAcentral.
GACGAACGCUGGCGGCGUGCUUAACACAUGCAAGUCGAACGCUGAAGCUUGGUGCUUGCACUGGGUGGAUGAGUGGCGAACGGGUGGGUAAUACGUGAGUAACCUGCCCUUGACUCUGGGAUAAGCCUGGGAAACUGGGUCUAAUACUGGAUACGACAUGUCACCGCAUGGUGGUGUGUGGAAAGGGUUUUACUGGUUUUGGAUGGGCUCACGGCCUAUCAGCUUGCUGGUGGGGUAAUGGCUCACCAAGGCGACGACGGGUAGCCGGCCUGAGAGGGUGACCGGCCACACUGGGACUGAGACACGGCCCAGACUCCUACGGGAGGCAGCAGUGGGGAAUAUUGCACAAUGGGCGGAAGCCUGAUGCAGCGACGCCGCGUGAGGGAUGACGGCCUUCGGGUUGUAAACCUCUUUCAGCACGGAAGAAGCGAAAGUGACGGUACGUUCAGAAGAAGCGCCGGCUAACUACGUG